Molecule: long non-coding RNA, 255 nt
Filed under: Lathyrus oleraceus (garden pea)
Lineage: Eukaryota; Viridiplantae; Streptophyta; Magnoliopsida; Fabales; Fabaceae
Description: Pisum sativum (pea) long non-coding RNA (PSAT_LNC022290)
Source: RNAcentral
UUAUUUGAUGUUUUAAAGGGAUUUUAGGUUUUGACCAAAUUAAAAUGCAUUUUAAUUCAUUUUAAAAUUGAUUUUUAAUUGAUUAAAUGCUUGGAAAUAUUGUUGAGCCACUCUUAUGGUCUUAUGAUGUUUGACUUUCUAUUUGAGCGUUGGUCAAAGUUGAUUUGACUUUUGUUGGAUCAAAACCAUUGGAUUUAUGGGAUUGAUGAAAUGUAUAUUUCAUCUCCCAAAAUGAAUGGAUGAUUUUGAUUUGAU